Molecule: ribosomal RNA, 476 nt
Filed under: uncultured bacterium
Lineage: Bacteria
Description: partial 16S ribosomal RNA
Rfam family: Bacterial small subunit ribosomal RNA
Source: RNAcentral
GACGAACGCUGGCGGCGUGCUUAACACACGCAAGUCGAACGGUAAGGCCCUUCGGGGUACACGAGUGGCGAACGGGUGAGUAACACGUGGGUGAUCUGCCCUGCACUUCGGGAUAAGCCUGGGAAACUGGGUCUAAUACCGGAUAGGACCACUGCCUGCAUGUGGUGGUGGAAAGCUUUUGCGGUGUGGGAUGGGCCCGCGGCCUAUCAGCUUGUUGGUGGGGUGAUGGCCUACCAAGGCGACGACGGGUAGCCGGCCUGAGGGGGUGACCGGCCACACUGGGACUGAGAUACGGCCCAGACUCCUACGGGAGGCAGCAGUGGGGAAUAUUGCACAAUGGGCGCAAGCCUGAUGCAGCGACGCCGCGUGAGGGAUGACGGCCUUCGGGUUGUAAACCUCUUUCAGCACCGACGAAGCGCAAGUGACGGUAGGUGCAGAAGAAGGACCGGCCAACUACGUGCCAGCAGCCGCCGUAA